UACGUAGGGUCCGAGCGUUGUCCGGAAUUACUGGGCGUAAAGAGCUCGUAGGUGGUUUGUCGCGUUGUUCGUGAAAACUCACAGCUUAACUGUGGGCGUGCGGGCGAUACGGGCAGACUUGAGUACUGCAGGGGAGACUGGAAUUCCUGGUGUAGCGGUGGAAUGCGCAGAUAUCAGGAGGAACACCUAUAGCGAAGGCAGCUCGCUGGGACGACACUGACGCUGAGACGCGAAAGCGUGGGGAGCGAACAGG
This 253-nucleotide ribosomal RNA is filed under the name uncultured bacterium. RNAcentral describes it as "partial 16S ribosomal RNA". It matches the Rfam family "Bacterial small subunit ribosomal RNA", at positions 524 to 776 of the family's 1533-position model. The record is from RNAcentral.